Molecule: transfer RNA, 76 nt
Filed under: primary endosymbiont of Sitophilus zeamais
Lineage: Bacteria; Pseudomonadati; Pseudomonadota; Gammaproteobacteria; Enterobacterales; Enterobacteriaceae
Description: tRNA-Ala
Rfam family: tRNA
About the family: Transfer RNA (tRNA) molecules are approximately 80 nucleotides in length. Their secondary structure includes four short double-helical elements and three loops (D, anti-codon, and T loops).
Source: RNAcentral
GGGGCUAUAGCUCAGCUGGGAGAGCGCCUGCUUUGCACACAGGAGGUCAGCGGUUCGAUCCCGCUUAGCUCCACCA